CAUAGUCUAUAUAAGACUAUGAGUUCAGACGGUAUGGGACACUAGAAUAAAUAGUAGCGAUCAUAUUUUUCAAAUCUCUCUCUCUUACUUUCUCUCUUUGGUAUCUAAAUACUCUUCCACUUCUGUUUAUUUUGCUGAGUUUUGAAAGAUUUGUCAACCCUCUCCAUGAUCGUGCUCCAAGAGAGGGUAUCUCGAUCGUAUCUUUGGAUAGAAUUUCUGAUAAAUAUUGGCACG
This 234-nucleotide long non-coding RNA is filed under the name Elaeis guineensis (African oil palm). Its description in RNAcentral is "long non-coding RNA (EGUI_LNC024517)". The record is from RNAcentral. Lineage: Eukaryota; Viridiplantae; Streptophyta; Magnoliopsida; Arecales; Arecaceae.